UUCCAUACCUGCAAGGUGCAAACAGAAUCGGUUGCAGAAAAUAUUGCUCCAAUUGCUACAAAUGAUGAAAAGGAUUAAAGAUGAUAAAACAAGAAGAAAGAGUUACAGUGUUCAUUGCAGAAGAAAAUGGAAAGGAGGGAAAAAGGUUAUGUAGAAGUACCAAGAUAAUCCCCUAUAUCGAGGGAACCUACAUCCAACUUUUUAAACAGUUGUCUGGCACCUGGAU
Long non-coding RNA from Telopea speciosissima, 226 nucleotides. RefSeq lists it as uncharacterized. The transcript has 2 exons. The record is from RefSeq and is a predicted model, not a curated record. Lineage: Eukaryota; Viridiplantae; Streptophyta; Magnoliopsida; Proteales; Proteaceae.